GAAAGCGUUUGGGUGGGCUGAGGCAGAGCCCGAGCCUUCCCUGCCUCUCCCACCCCUCUCUGCCCUCCCCUGCCCACAUGGCUCACAAGCAAGAGGUCACCGGCAGCUGGAUGUGCCCAUCUGUCUGCAAUGCCAAGGAGACAAGCACAUGGGCACUGGAAGAGAGAGUAACCUGUGUAUGACUGGGGCGUGCAUGUGCAGCAUAGCAGCUACAGUGUCUGUGCAAAAGACGGGAGGCUGUCAUGGGGAAGAAAAAGAAAUGUGCUUUACAGGUCAUCAUGGAAGAUGCUGGAAUAGAGAUUGAUGGACAAGUCGAAAGUGACGCAGAGAGUGAAGGCUGCUCAUUUUUCACUCUGGAUCCCAUUCUAGUAAAAUGUCCUUCUUCCAUUGCAAUUUCUCCAACCCUGGGG
RNAcentral lists this long non-coding RNA (410 nucleotides) under Falco tinnunculus (common kestrel). Its description in RNAcentral is "lncRNA (ENSFTIG00000003611.1)". The record is from RNAcentral. Lineage: Eukaryota; Metazoa; Chordata; Aves; Falconiformes; Falconidae.